GGGCUGUCGUCAGCUCGUGUCGUGAGAUGUUGGGUUAAGCCCCGCAACGAGCGCAACCCCUGCAUCCAGUUGCCAUCGGGCGAGCCGGGCACUCUGGAGGGACUGCCGGCGACAAGCCGGAGGAAGGUGGGGAUGACGUCAAGUCAUCAUGGCCCUUAUGUCCAGGGCGACACACGUGCUACAAUGGCCGGCACAGCGGGAAGCGGAGGGGCGACCCUGAGCGGAUCCCUUGAAAGCCGGUCCCAGUUCGGAUUGCAGUCUGCAACUCGACUGCAUGAAGUUGGAAUCGCUAGUAAUCGCGGAUCAGCCAAGCCGCGGUGAAUACGUUCCCGGGCCUU
RNAcentral lists this ribosomal RNA (338 nucleotides) under uncultured Thermovirga sp. RNAcentral describes it as "bacterial SSU rRNA". It matches the Rfam family "Bacterial small subunit ribosomal RNA", at positions 1046 to 1382 of the family's 1533-position model. Lineage: Bacteria; Thermotogati; Synergistota; Synergistia; Synergistales; Thermovirgaceae. The record is from RNAcentral.